CUUGCUUUGGAUUACUUUGCCAGCCGGUUGAGUAGCUCGCAAGAGAAGUGAGAGCGAAAUGGCUCCGGUUCCAUGUCUCCUUUCGCUUUUCGCAACGAGCGCCUUCUUUCUGGGAAGUUCCUUGGGUUCCUCUUCCCGUUCUUUUUGGACGAUGUAUACUUCUGUGACAAAACCCAGCCUGGGGAUGCCCCACUUCACUGCUGUGGCCUAUGUCGAUGACCAGCUCCUCGCGCGCUAUGACAGUAUCACGAGGAAGAUGCUACCCCAGACUCCCUGGAUGAAGAAGGCAGCAGAGGAGGACCCUCGGUACAUCGACCGGUACACUCAGAUCUUGCAGCAUGACGAGGAAAAUUUCAGAGGCGACCUGGUGAUGUUACGGAAACGGUACAAUCAAAGUGAAGGUUUUCACACGGUACAGAUGAUGAUUGAGUGCAAGGUGAGGCCGGACGGCCGCAAGGGUGGGUGCUGGCAGUACGGGUACGAUGGGCGGGACUUCAUCAGCUUUGACAUGGAGCACCUCCUCUGGACUGCGGCUGACCCCCAGGCGCAAGUGAUCAUGAGGACGUGGGAGACUGAAACAGGCCUGGUCCUGCGUCUCAAGUCCUACUUGGAGGAAAUCUGCACAGAGUGGUUCCAAAAAGACUCAGCCUACAGGGAGGAGGGCUUACGGAAAGAAGCCCCGGUGGUGAAGGUGACGAAGAAAGGGGACUACGAUGGCAUGGAAAUGCUCGUCUGCCAGGCUUAUGGCUUCUACCCUCGGGAGAUCGAUGCCUUGUGGACGAAGGACAGGGAGGUGUGGGUACAGGACACUUUUCAUAGAACGGUGGCCCCCAACUCAGACGGGACCUACCAUGCCUGGCUCAGUAUCAGGAUCGACCCCAAAGACAGCGACCGCUACCGGUGCCACAUCGAUCAUAACGGGCUGCAGGAGCCUCUGGAUUUGGCCUGGGAGGAACCAGCAUCCCUUAUUUGGCCAAUUAUUUUGGGUACCACAGGAGCCGUCUUUGCUGCGGUGGUUGUUGUCGGAGCUACUGUGCAAAUCAAGAAAUGGCGAGAUGGGUACCGAGCCGCCUCAGGUCAGUGAUUCCUCCCUCUUUCGACCUCUGAGAUGAAGGAGAGUCAGCUGAGGUGCCAUUUCUCGGAUCUGUGAGUUGCAAGGAGAGGCGUCUGGCCCUCAAAAUGAAGUGCAGCCGCGCACCGGGUGAUGGACAGGAAGGAGUCAAUCAAGGCAUGGAAGGAGGGUGCUCGGGACCUGCCUCUGUUGUUAGUAACCAUUGUAUGAAGAUUGAAGAGACGGCGGUAUCUUGUCUUUCGCUCCAAGCAGCCAAAUGGCUUGGGAUGGCCUUGGUUCAUGUUUGAGAGAAAGGAAGAAAAAGAGGAGACCACUUCAAAGAUCCUGAUUUCCUUUCCUUUCCUUUUUCAGCAAGUGACUCUGGGUCAGACAGCACUGGCAAAGAGUGACCCUUGUCGUCCAGGAAUGAGGGACUUCCAGCAACGAAAGCAGCUCCUUCUGGAUUCUCCUCUCUUUCACUGUGACUUCUUCAGUGACUCCAAACUGACUAUUGCUAGUUUAUAUUUGUGGUCCCUUUUGAUUGCAAAGAAGCUGACUUGAUCGCUCAGUGAGUUUAGGCCUCCAGCUGGUGAGCCAGAGGUUGGGAGUUCGAGUCCUACCUGUGCCUCCUGGAAGAAGAGCCAACCUGGGUAGCCUUGGGCGAGCUGAGAGCUUUUUAGGGGCUGCAGGUGUUACUUGUACAGUAAAGAGUUGGCUUUGAAUGGACGAGGGAGAGACUCAAGAAGUUGGAAAGAAGCGGAAGAACUAACAAGAUCAAAUCAACCAAAAGGAAUUUUCUGUAUUGGAGUGCUACAUAAACAGAGAUGCUGUGACUUAUCAGUGACUUGGGUGUUCGCCCAUUUGAUAUUCAUUUUGUAAUCUGACUUGGGAACACUUUCUUUUUACUGAAGGGGAGGAUACAUGAUGUCCAAAAAUGAAACAAACACACACACCCAAAAAGCUAGAAGAAUUGGCUGAAAACUAGUAUUAAUUCACAACCAAGAGUAGGCCCAUUGAAGAAAUAAACAGAGAAUAAAUCAGAUUCUGUAUUUGUGGUA
Pogona vitticeps (central bearded dragon) is the source of this 2109-nucleotide non-coding RNA. The record is from RefSeq and is a predicted model, not a curated record. NCBI's taxonomy places the organism in Eukaryota, Metazoa, Chordata, Lepidosauria, Squamata, Agamidae.